Molecule: microRNA precursor, 62 nt
Filed under: Eptatretus burgeri (inshore hagfish)
Lineage: Eukaryota; Metazoa; Chordata; Myxini; Myxiniformes; Myxinidae
Description: Ebu-Mir-203-P3_pre stem-loop
Source: RNAcentral
AGUGGUUCUAAUCAGUUCACAAUGUUCUGAUAUGACGAUGUGAAAUGUUUAGGACCACUAUG